This 432-nucleotide unclassified non-coding RNA is filed under the name soil metagenome. RNAcentral's name for it is "partial contains 5.8S ribosomal RNA, internal transcribed spacer 2, and large subunit ribosomal RNA". The stretch from base 1 to 120 matches the Rfam family "5.8S ribosomal RNA", at positions 35 to 154 of the family's 154-position model. The record is from RNAcentral.
GAUGAAGAACGGAGCGAAAUGCGAUACGUAAUGUGAAUUGCAGAAUUCAGUGAAUCAUCGAAUCUUUGAACGCAUAUUGCGCUCUCUGGUAUUCCGGAGAGCAUGCUUGUUUGAGUAUCAGUAAACACCUCAACUUCCAUAUCUUUUUUGAAAUGGGAGUUGGACUUGAGUGAUCCCAACGCUUUUCCUCACCGAAAAGUGGCGGGUUACUUGAAAUGCAGGUGCAGCUGGACUUUUCUCUGAGCUAUAAGCAUAUCUAUUUAGUCUGCCUAAAAAACAGAUUAUUACCUUUGCUGCAGCUAACAUAAAGGAGAUUAGUUCUUGUGCUGACUGAUGCAGGAUUCACAAAGACGGCUUCGGCCGACUUUGUAAACUCGAUCUCAAAUCAAGUAAGACUACCCGCUGAACUUAAGCAUAUCAAUAAGCGGAGGA